GACGAACGCUGGCGGCGUGCCUAAUACAUGCAAGUAGAACGCUGAAGUCUUUAGCUUGCUAAAGUUGGAAGAGUUGCGAACGGGUGAGUAACGCGUAGGUAACCUGCCUACUAGCGGGGGAUAACUAUUGGAAACGAUAGCUAAUACCGCAUAACAGCAUUUAACCCAUGUUAGAUGCUUGAAAGGAGCAAUUGCUUCACUAGUAGAUGGACCUGCGUUGUAUUAGCUAGUUGGUGAGGUAACGGCUCACCAAGGCGACGAUACAUAGCCGACCUGAGAGGGUGAUCGGCCACACUGGGACUGAGACACGGCCCAGACUCCUACGGGAGGCAGCAGUAGGGAAUCUUCGGCAAUGGGGGCAACCCUGACCGAGCAACGCCGCGUGAGUGAAGAAGGUUUUCGGAUCGUAAAGCUCUGUUGUAAGAGAAGAACGUGUGUGAGAG
RNAcentral lists this ribosomal RNA (443 nucleotides) under uncultured bacterium. RNAcentral describes it as "bacterial SSU rRNA". It matches the Rfam family "Bacterial small subunit ribosomal RNA", at positions 28 to 461 of the family's 1533-position model. The record is from RNAcentral.